RNAcentral lists this ribosomal RNA (260 nucleotides) under uncultured bacterium. Its description in RNAcentral is "partial 16S ribosomal RNA". It matches the Rfam family "Bacterial small subunit ribosomal RNA", at positions 793 to 1055 of the family's 1533-position model. The record is from RNAcentral.
GUCCACACUGUAAACGAUGGACACUAGAUGUUGGACCGCAAGGUUCAGCGUCGUAGCUAACGCAAUAAGUGUCCCACCUGGGAAGUACGGCCGCAAGGUUGAAACUCAAAGGAAUUGACGGGGGCCCGCACAAGCGGUGGAGUAUGUGGUUUAAUUCGAUGCAACGCGAAGAACCUUACCUGGGCUUGACAUGCUGGUUAUCAACCUGAAAGGGAAGAGACCCCUCAAAGGAGCCAGCACAGGUGCUGCAUGGCUGUCGU